RNAcentral lists this long non-coding RNA (444 nucleotides) under Arabidopsis lyrata. RNAcentral describes it as "long non-coding RNA (ALYR_LNC001388)". Lineage: Eukaryota; Viridiplantae; Streptophyta; Magnoliopsida; Brassicales; Brassicaceae. The record is from RNAcentral.
CAAAUGUAUACACGAUACAAACAUAUAUUACAACCAAAUUAGUGACAUAGACAUCCAAUUAUAGAAUACAUAUCUAUGUUACCACAUUUUAACCAAAGAUCGAUAUAUAGAACCCAUCAUAAUAAGCGGAUUACCGCCAUUAAACCACCACUCCAGAUCCACCAUUGAAUCACCGCCGAUUGUCACUAAAGUUUCGCAACAACACCCCUGCAAGCAAGUUUCCCUUGUUGAACCUCCACUCUACAUCCAUUGUUCAUCCAUCGCGGAUUAUCACCGGAUUCUUUCAGAUUCAGAUCUUACAUAAACAUGCUUUUGACGAAAAAAACAAAUGAAGAAAAAGAAUCAACAACGAUGAAGCUAUCAACAUAAAAAAUAGACGAAGAAAGAGAGAUGUGAAUGGAGUUGAAAGAGAGAGAUAGAUGUGACUUAUGGGGUGGAAGAGAC